RNAcentral lists this long non-coding RNA (481 nucleotides) under Homo sapiens (human). Its description in RNAcentral is "HSALNT0080084". Lineage: Eukaryota; Metazoa; Chordata; Mammalia; Primates; Hominidae. The record is from RNAcentral.
CUGGGGUUGCCCCAGUUGGUAGAAUUAAUAUCUAGGCUAAAGGUCAAGGGCGGGGAAAACUUGUCAACACGCCCUCGGCAUCACCACCACCUGUCAACACACACACACCUCGGUGGACUCCUGAACUGAGGCUUCCCAAAUCCUGGUUCUAAUCUUCAAACCUCUGUUGGAAAUGGAAAAAAAAAAAUCGUAUUUGCCCAGUUUUUCUCCCUGGUCCUGACCUGACUUUCGUCUUCGGAGCCAUUCUAGUUCAGUCUAAAGAAAUUGAAGUCUGAUCUGUCACAUCAUGGUUAACAUUCAUAUGUUGACCAAGUCACCCAAGUGUAUCUGGAGCCAGUUUUUCUGCGUUGUCUAAAAUUAAGGGCUGGGCGUGGUGGCUCAAGCCUGUAAUCCCAGCACUCUGGGAGGCUGAGGCUGGUCUCAAACUCCUGGCCUCAAGUGAUCCUCCUACCUCAGCCUCCCAAAGUGCUGGGAUUAUAGG